CUUGGUAGAGGAAGUAAAAGUCGUAACAAGGUUUCCGUAGGUGAACCUGCGGAAGGAUCAUUAACACGUUAUCCACGUAUCAACCAACGAGAACCCGUUUUCGCCCUCUCUUCCUGAGAAUGAAUUGGAGCUUGCUUAGAGUUGUUGAAUGGGAUGCUUGCGUCAGACUCUACUCGCCACUUACCGGACAGGCGCGCUUCAUUGCGCAUCCCCUGAAACGUAGACAAUUGGAUCUCUGUGAAGACUCUCUCUCACCGUUCGGGUCUCCAUUCAUUGACUUUUUCGGUGGGAACUCAUACUAACCCCUUUCACCCCUCUUUUUUGCUAGUUGACUUUUAUAUGUUGCUUCUGCGUCUGCCUCGGCAGUGCGAGCACACGUUUAAUUAUUUGAACGUUAAAAAUACAACUCUUAGCAAUGGAUAUCUAGGUUCUC
This 433-nucleotide unclassified non-coding RNA is filed under the name fungal sp. RNAcentral's name for it is "partial internal transcribed spacer region". The stretch from base 1 to 63 matches the Rfam family "Eukaryotic small subunit ribosomal RNA", at positions 1769 to 1831 of the family's 1831-position model. Lineage: Eukaryota; Fungi. The record is from RNAcentral.